RNAcentral lists this ribosomal RNA (496 nucleotides) under uncultured bacterium. RNAcentral's name for it is "bacterial SSU rRNA". It matches the Rfam family "Bacterial small subunit ribosomal RNA", at positions 28 to 507 of the family's 1533-position model. The record is from RNAcentral.
GAUGAACGCUAGCGGCAGGCUUAAUACAUGCAAGUUGAGGGGCAGCAUGAUAUACGCGAGUAUAUUGAUGGCGACCGGCGGACGGGUGAGUAAUAGGUAGGAGACCUACCUCAUACAGGGGGAUAGCAUAGAGAAAUCUGUGGUAAUACCCCAUGAGGUUAUAUGAAUAGAGGCAUAUAAUCAAAGCAUAAGUGAUUAUGCGGUAUGAGAGGGGCCUACUGACCAUUAGCUAGUUGGUGAGGUAAGGGCUCACCAAGGCGAAGAUGGUUAGGGGUUUUGAGAGAGAGACCCCCCCACAUUGGAACUGAGAGACGGUCCAGACUCCUACGGGAGGCAGCAGUAGGGAAUAUUGGGCAAUGGGCGAAAGCCUGACCCAGCCAUGCCGCGUGAAGGAAGACGGCCUUAUGGGUUGUAAACUUCUUUACUACGCGAAUAGAGGUUAGUACGAGAUACUAAUAGGAAGGUAGUGUAGUAAAAAGCACCGGCUAACUCCGUG